GAUGAACGCUGGCGGCGUGCCUAAUACAUGCAAGUCGAGCGAACAGACGAGGAGCUUGCUCCUCUGACGUUAGCGGCGGACGGGUGAGUAACACGUGGAUAACCUACCUAUAAGACUGGGAUAACUUCGGGAAACCGGAGCUAAUACCGGAUAAUAUAUGGAACCGCAUGGUUCAAUAGUGAAAGACGGUUUUGCUGUCACUUAUAGAUGGAUCCGCGCCGCAUUAGCUAGUUGGUAAGGUAACGGCUUACCAAGGCAACGAUGCGUAGCCGACCUGAGAGGGUGAUCGGCCACACUGGAACUGAGACACGGUCCAGACUCCUACGGGAGGCAGAAGUAGGGAAUCUUCCGCAAUGGGCGAAAGCCUGAAGGAGCAACGCCGCGUGAGUGAUGCAGGUCUUCGGAUCGUAAAACUCUGUUAUUAGGGAAGACCAAAUGUGUAAGUAACUAUGCACGUCUUGACGGUACCUAAUCAGAAAGCCACGGCUAACUACGUG
Molecule: ribosomal RNA, 497 nt
Filed under: uncultured bacterium
Lineage: Bacteria
Description: partial 16S ribosomal RNA
Rfam family: Bacterial small subunit ribosomal RNA
Source: RNAcentral